RNAcentral lists this ribosomal RNA (517 nucleotides) under Escherichia coli. Its description in RNAcentral is "partial 23S ribosomal RNA". It matches the Rfam family "Bacterial large subunit ribosomal RNA", at positions 418 to 934 of the family's 2925-position model. The record is from RNAcentral. RNAcentral also lists the same sequence under 1 other name. Lineage: Bacteria; Pseudomonadati; Pseudomonadota; Gammaproteobacteria; Enterobacterales; Enterobacteriaceae.
CGGGACACGUGGUAUCCUGUCUGAAUAUGGGGGGACCAUCCUCCAAGGCUAAAUACUCCUGACUGACCGAUAGUGAACCAGUACCGUGAGGGAAAGGCGAAAAGAACCCCGGCGAGGGGAGUGAAAAAGAACCUGAAACCGUGUACGUACAAGCAGUGGGAGCACAGAGCAAUCUGUGUGACUGCGUACCUUUUGUAUAAUGGGUCAGCGACUUAUAUUCUGUAGCAAGGUUAACCGAAUAGGGGAGCCGAAGGGAAACCGAGUCUUAACUGGGCGUUAAGUUGCAGGGUAUAGACCCGAAACCCGGUGAUCUAGCCAUGGGCAGGUUGAAGGUUGGGUAACACUAACUGGAGGACCGAACCGACUAAUGUUGAAAAAUUAGCGGAUGACUUGUGGCUGGGGGUGAAAGGCCAAUCAAACCGGGAGAUAGCUGGUUCUCCCCGAAAGCUAUUUAGGUAGCGCCUCGUGAAUUCAUCUCCGGGGGUAGAGCACUGUUUCGGCAAGGGGGUCAUCCCGA